Non-coding RNA from Pseudophryne corroboree (corroboree frog), 71 nucleotides. NCBI's taxonomy places the organism in Eukaryota, Metazoa, Chordata, Amphibia, Anura, Myobatrachidae. The record is from the annotation of a RefSeq genome assembly.
GGGGAUGUAGCUCAGUGGUAGAGCGCAUGCAUUGCAGGUAUGAGCCCCUGGUUCAAUCCCUGGCAUCUCCA